Non-coding RNA from Ciona intestinalis (vase tunicate), 267 nucleotides. The record is from RefSeq and is a predicted model, not a curated record. NCBI's taxonomy places the organism in Eukaryota, Metazoa, Chordata, Ascidiacea, Phlebobranchia, Cionidae.
UUGUGAAAACAAUUUUUCUCUUUUCCUUUUUUUUGGAAAACAGUACUUGACAAAAAUUGUUAUUAUAGUUUAUUAAAGUUUAUAUUUUUGUCUGGUGCCGUAGCAUAGUUGAUUACCGCACCUGCCUGGACCCAGGGAUAAUGGGUUCAAUGCUCUUUGCUGCAACCAUUGUGGGAGUAUGUGUCCUUGGGAAAAAUACCUAACAACAAGUGCUCAAACCCAGUGGUCACUAAUGGGUUGUCCAAAUUAUCAGUCAUAGGUAAAAAA